CAUGAAAUUAAUUUUAUUGCCAGGUGCGGUGGCUCACGCCUGUAAUCCCAGCACUUUGGGAGGCCAAGGCAGGUGGAUCACGAGGUCAAGAGAUCGAGACCAUCCUGGUCAACAUGGUGAAACCCCGUCUCUACUAAAAAUACAAAAAAUUAGCUGGGCAUGGUGGCGCGUGCCUGUAAUCCCAGCUACUCAGGAGGCUGAGGCAGGAGAGUUGCCUGAACCCAGGAGGCGGAGGUUGUGGUGAGCCAAGAUCAUGCCAUUGAACUCCAGCCUGGUACUUCCCAUUGAGCAAACUCAACUGGAAGUCGUAGGUCAAGGGAUCCCUGGUGGCAUUGGACAUAGACGUCAGCAUCCAAGGGCACAGAAUAGGGCCCAGAAUGGACCAGUACUUGCAAGUGGAGAAAAACCAAAACGCAUUAGAGGUAGGAUUCAAAUCCAUGCUAUUAACCACUCACUCCAUUGCCUUUUGAGAGUAAACCAGUUAGCUUCUCUCCUCCAUAUCUACAAAGCCCUUGGUGCCUCAGUUCCAUGUCCAAAGACAGCACUUUCACUUAAAGGCAUGACUUUCACCAGGAGGACUCAGUGAACAAGGAGUACAAAUGGUUUACUCAAAGGAGUCCCCAUCAGACAAAUUUUAUUCUCAAGCCACUUCUCCUGGUUUUAGCCAUGUGGUGCCAGUUCUUUCCUCACCCUUCAUGUAUAGCAAGCUAGUAUCUUCUUUCAGUUCCUUUUGCCCCACUUUCUACUAAAAAGAUCCCUCCUUAUUUUAAGCCUGCCCCUCCCAAGCCCCAGAGGUUUCCUUCUCUACCUCAGUGGGUUGAAGAAACUAACUUUUCAGCAAAAAAAGUAUCUCUAUCCACAAAGAAUUCUCACAUCAUCAACCAAGAAAACAUUUGUUCUUUUUUUUUUUGAGACGGAGUUUCGCUCUUGUUACUCAGGCUGGAGUGCAAUGGCAUGAUCUUGGUUCACCGCAACCUCCGCCUCCUGGGUUCAGGCAAUUCUCCUGCCUCAGCCUCCUGAGUAGCUGGGAUUACAGGCAUGUGCCACCAUGCCCAGCUAAUUUUUUGUAUCUUUAGUAGAGACGGGGUUUCACCAUGUUGACCAGGAUAGUCUCGAUAUCUUGACCUCGUGAUCCACCCACCUCAGCCUCCCAAAGUGCUGGGAUUACAGGCGUGAGCCACUGCGCCCGGCCACAUUUGUUCUUAUCAAUGCAUAUGUAUGCAUAGGGAUUGGCAUAGUGCUUGUACAAAAGAGGACUCAUUAAAUGGAGAUUAUUACUAUUAGCAGUAUUAUAGUCACUUUGCCUAAGUGAGUGUAAACAGAAAGCUUACAGUGACUGUAGAGAAUGACAAAAAUGCAGAAGGGCCAGGUUCUAGGCAAGAGAGACAAUGCUUCUAUGAAAACACUCUGAAAUAUUUCCCAGGAGAUGCACAGCUACCUCUGACACCAUAAUGCAUUUCCACUGAACCUCUUUACUGAGGGUUUUGGCAGCAUUCUUUGGAUUGCUGUUCUCCAGAAUCACUCUCCUAGGCACCUUCCUCAACAAGGAAAUAUUUUUUGACAAGUUACAGAUGUUCCUCUUUUCCUGAGAAACACUCCAACACAUACUAUUUUUCAAAAUGUUGAGUUUUGUGCCAUGAAAAUUGUGUUUCUGGCCUUGGGUUAGCAUGAUAUAAGAAACUUGAAUAACCAUGACCAAUGCAGGGAUAAUCUUUUGUUUUUGACUUUUAAACAGACAUUUUUGACAUUGCCCAUAAGUCUCUACUCUUUCAGACAUUUGUCUAAACCAAAAUGCAUUUUCCUGUCCAAAAAAAUAGCAAGUUCAAGCUUGUUCCCAUUACUUCACCUUCCUUUGACUCUAUAAUCUAUCAAAUAUAUUAUACACAGAAGACAUCUAAGGCUACAGAGACUUUGUGGGUUCUUGAAUCUUUUUUCAAUUAAUUUAUUUUUACUGUAUAUAUUUAAGGCAUACAUGAUGUUUUGAUAUUCACAUACAUAGUGCAAUGUUAGAUCAAGCAAAUAACAUAUUUAUCACCUUUCAUAGUUACCUUAUUUUUUCUUGUGGUUUUUUACUCUUCAUUCAUCAGUUUCCUUGCUGUAAAUGUUAAACUUUGAUGCUCCCAAAAUAGGUAAUUGUAUGAGUAUGAAUGAGAACAGGGCUAUGGAAUGAAGGCAAUAUCUAAUAUGGCUUGGCUGUGUCCCCAUCCAAAUCUCAUCUUGAAUUUACACAUGUUGUGGGAGGGACCUUGUGGGAGGUAACUGAAUCAUGGGGCAAGUUUUUCCCAUGCUGUUCUCAUGAUAGUGACUAAGUCUCAUGAGAUCUGAUGGUUUUAAAGAAAGGAGGAGUACCCCUGCAUAAGCUCUCUCUCUUUGUCUGUUGCCACCCAUGUAAGACAUGACUUGGUCUUCCUUGUCUUCUGCCAUGAUUGGGAGGCUUCCACAGCCACAUGGAACUAUAAUUCCAAAUAAACCUCUUUCUGUUGUAAAUUGCCCAGUCUCAGGUAUGUCUUUAUCAGCAGCAUGAAAAUGGAUUAAUACAACAUCAUAGAGACAAGUAAUUAUGAAAUUAUUGGCUUGUCCUCACUAUGAAAAUAUAGAUAUUUCUAUUCCAGUACAAAUUUUCACUGAGUAAUUUGGAUGUAACCUGAUGUCUUAGUCCACUCUUGCAUUGCUAUAAAAAACUACCUGAGGCUGGGUAAUUUAUAAAGAAAAGAAGUUUAAUUGACUCACAGUUCUACAGGCUGUACAGGCUGGGGAGGUCUCAGGAAACUUACAAACAUGGCAGAGGGGAAAGAGGAAGGAAGUAUAUCUUACAUGGCUGGGGCAGGGGAAAGAGAGAGAAACGGGCAGCACUACACACUUUUAAACAAGCACAUCUCAUGAGAACUCACUAUCACAAGAAAAGCAAGGGGUAAAUAUGCCCCCACUUCCCACCAGGCCCCUCCUGCAAU
Molecule: long non-coding RNA, 2951 nt
Filed under: Callithrix jacchus (white-tufted-ear marmoset)
Lineage: Eukaryota; Metazoa; Chordata; Mammalia; Primates; Cebidae
Description: lncRNA (ENSCJAG00000079139.1)
Source: RNAcentral